This 458-nucleotide ribosomal RNA is filed under the name uncultured bacterium. RNAcentral's name for it is "partial 16S ribosomal RNA". It matches the Rfam family "Bacterial small subunit ribosomal RNA", at positions 338 to 795 of the family's 1533-position model. The record is from RNAcentral.
CCUACGGGAGGCAGCAGUGGGGAAUAUUGCACAAUGGGGGAAACCCUGAUGCAGCGACGCCGCGUGAGUGAAGAAGUAUUACGGUAUGUAAAGCCCUAUCAGCAGGGAAGAAAUAGCGACCUUUGGGUCGCCAGACGGUACCUGACUAAGAAGCCCCGGGUAACUACGUGCCAGCAGCCGCGGUAAUACGUAGGGGGCACGCGUUAUCCGGGUUUACUGGGGGGAAAGGGAGCGGAGAGGGCGGCAAAAGGCUGAAGGUAAAAGCCGGGGGCUAACACCGGAACGGCGUUGGAAACAGGGCAGCUAGAGUGCAGGAGAGGUAAGUGGAAUUCCUAGUGUAGCGGUGAAAUGCGUAGAUAUUAGGAGGAACACCAGUGGCGAAGGCGGCUUACUGGAUUGUAACUGACGUUGAGGCUCGAAAGCGUGGGGAGCGAACAGGAUUAGAUACCCCUGUAGUC